Molecule: transfer RNA, 73 nt
Filed under: Stegodyphus mimosarum
Lineage: Eukaryota; Metazoa; Arthropoda; Arachnida; Araneae; Eresidae
Rfam family: tRNA
About the family: Transfer RNA (tRNA) molecules are approximately 80 nucleotides in length. Their secondary structure includes four short double-helical elements and three loops (D, anti-codon, and T loops).
Source: Rfam by way of RNAcentral
GCCUUCGUGGUGUAGUGGUCAGCACACUCGGCGCGUAUUCGAGAGGUCCGUGGUUCGAGUCCCGGCAAGGGCG